UACGGGGGGUGCAAGCGUUGCUCGGAAUCACUGGGCGUAAAGCGUCCGCAGGCGGACCGAACAGUCGGUGGUGAAAGCCCAGGGCUCAACCCUGGAACUGCCAUCGAUACUGCCGGUCUUGAGUUCGGGAGAGGGAAGUGGAAUUCCUGGUGUAGAGGUGAAAUUCGUAGAUAUCAGGAGGAACACCGGUGGCGAAAGCGGCUUCCUGGCCCGAAACUGACGCUCAUGGACGAAAGCGUGGGGAGCAAACAGG
This 253-nucleotide ribosomal RNA is filed under the name uncultured bacterium. Its description in RNAcentral is "partial 16S ribosomal RNA". It matches the Rfam family "Bacterial small subunit ribosomal RNA", at positions 524 to 776 of the family's 1533-position model. The record is from RNAcentral.